GAUGAACGCUGGCGGCGUGCCUAAUACAUGCGAGUCGAGCGAACGGACGAGAAGCUUGCUUCUCUGAUGUUAGCGGCGGACGGGUGAGUAACACGUGGAUAACCUACCUAUAAGACUGGGAUAACUUCGGGAAGCCGGAGCUAAUACCGGAUGAUAUUUUGAACCGCAUGGUUCAAAAGUGAAAGACGGUCUUGCUGUCACUUAUAGAUGGAUCCGCGCUGCAUUAGCUAGUUGGUAAGGUAACGGCUUACCAAGGCAACGAUGCAUAGCCGACCUGAGAGGGUGAUCGGCCACACUGGAACUGAGACACGGUCCAGACUCCUACGGGAGGCAGCAGUAGGGAAUCUUCCGCAAUGGGCGAAAGCCUGACGGAGCAACGCCGCGUGAGUGAUGAAGGUCUUCGGAUCGUAAAACUCUGUUAUUAGGGAAGAACAUAUGUGUAAGUAACUGUGCACAUCUUGACGGUACCUAAUCAGAAAGCCACGGCUAACUACGUG
Molecule: ribosomal RNA, 497 nt
Filed under: uncultured bacterium
Lineage: Bacteria
Description: partial 16S ribosomal RNA
Rfam family: Bacterial small subunit ribosomal RNA
Source: RNAcentral